RNAcentral lists this transfer RNA (73 nucleotides) under Ailuropoda melanoleuca (giant panda). It matches the Rfam family "tRNA". From Rfam's summary of the family: Transfer RNA (tRNA) molecules are approximately 80 nucleotides in length. Their secondary structure includes four short double-helical elements and three loops (D, anti-codon, and T loops). The record is from Rfam by way of RNAcentral. Lineage: Eukaryota; Metazoa; Chordata; Mammalia; Carnivora; Ursidae.
ACCUGGCUGGCUCGGUCGGUAGAGCAUGCGACUCUUGAUCUCGAGAUUCUGAGUUCAAGCCCCAUGCUAGGUG